UAAAAAGCAAUCCUGAUAAAAAAUAUCUCAGAACCGUUAUCCUGCUCUGUAGCUCCGCCCACCCUGUGAGGUUUUGGAUGGAUAGAGGGAGAAUGGAGAGGGAGAUAAGACGCAGUGAAGGAGAAAGGGAAAGUAAGUCUCGUCUCCUCCAUUAGAAACAGGACAGAAGUCUGGAUUCACUCGGGUGUCGGCAGUGUCCAGCUGUGUUUGAAUGAAGAACAGUAAAUGAUGGAUCUUCAGAACAUCAGCAGUGGAGCAGGACCCCCUGUCCUAAAAACUGAAACCCAGAGAGCAGCAUCUCCAGAGCCCAGCUGUGUGUCUAUGAAGAGUGACGCAUCCAUUCAGGAACCUCCUAAUUUCAGCAGUGGAGGAGGAAGCUCUGGGUCUCGGUACAUAAGAUAAGAUAAUCCUUUAUUAAUCCCACAAUGGGGAAAUUUGCAAUGUAACAGCAGCACAGGGGAAAGAACAGAGAAACAGGUCAGGAAAAUAUAUUGUGGUG
Molecule: long non-coding RNA, 499 nt
Organism: Astyanax mexicanus (Mexican tetra)
Lineage: Eukaryota; Metazoa; Chordata; Actinopteri; Characiformes; Acestrorhamphidae
Exons: 3
Source: RefSeq, a predicted model, not a curated record